This is a long non-coding RNA of Anguilla rostrata (American eel), 8693 nucleotides long. RefSeq lists it as uncharacterized. The record is from RefSeq and is a predicted model, not a curated record. Lineage: Eukaryota; Metazoa; Chordata; Actinopteri; Anguilliformes; Anguillidae. The transcript is spliced from 2 exons.
UGCAAUUACUGUAACUCAUCCCUCAAAAUUUUACAUUAUUGUUCUGUACCGCCGUCCACUCGGCUCUUUCCUGGAUGAGCUGGUCACUCUCCUGAGCUCCCUCCCUGAGGAUGGCACUCCGGCUAUUCUACUGGGAGACUUCAAACUCCCACCAGAGACCUCCCAACUAUCCAGGGUUGCCUCACUCCUCCAGUCUUUUGCCCUAUCCCAGUCUUCUUCUCCCCCCACACACAAGGCUGGUAACCAACUAGACCUUGUAUUCACCAGAAGCUGCUCCAUUCCCCAACUCACGGUGACACCCCUCCAUGUCUCAGACCACUUCUUUCUUUCUUUCUCCCUCUCCUACUUUCUCCCCCACAAUUUACUCAACAGCUCCAGCACCAGUACACUCUUCACCCCCCUGCCCGUGGUUGACUGAGUCACUACACUCCAGCAGAACAUCACUGCGGGCUGCAGAGAGGAAGUGGAGGAAAUCCCGAUCCUCUGAUGACCUGACCGCAUAUCAUACCCUGCUGGCAACUUUCACAUCUGCCCUCACAUCAGCUAAAGCCUCAUUUUUCCAAUCUAAGAUCAGUUCAUGUGUCUCUAACCCAGGCAAACUAUUCUCCACCUUCUCUUCCCUCCUCAUGCCUCCUCCACCCCCAUUUCCCUCUUCCCUUUCCGCAGAUGACUUUCUGACUGCCUUUGAAGGAAAGGUGGCUACAAUCUGGAACUCCUUUGCCCAUCCAGUGAGCCCCCCAACCCCCCCGAGACAAACCCACGGCUACACUGACCUCCUUUGAGAUGCUGGUGGACUCCAAUGUACUACAGCUCAUCACUUCUCAUUGUGUAACCACCUGUCCACGUGACCCCAUCCCAUCUACAGUCCUCCAAUAAAUUUCCAGCGAGAUCCUUCCCUAUCUGUCCUCCAUCGUUAAUUCCUCUCUUGCCUCUGGUCAUGUUCCCUCUGAUUUUAAGAUAGCUCAUGUUACCCCACUCCUCAAGAAACUCACCUCAGACCCCUCUGAUGUAAUGAAUUAUCGACCCGUAUUGCUUCUACCUUUUCUGUCCAAAACCCUUGAGCGAGCAGUGCUUAAACAACUAACCUCUUUUCUCCAUCAGAACGACCUGCUAGACCCUCACCAGUCUGGCUUCCAAUCCGGGCACUCAACAGAGACUGCACUCCUGGCUGUGGCGGAGGCACUCGCCACUGCAAGAGCCUCACGUCUCUCCUCUGUCCUGAUCCUUCUUGUCCUGUCUGCAGCAUUCGACACGGUCAACCACAAAAUACUUCUCUCCACCUUGGCUGAGAUGGGCAUUGUUGAGACUGCCCUGUCUUGGUUCGCUUCCUAUCUUGCAGAUAGGUCCUACCAGGUCAUCUGGAUGGGGUCUGCCUCUUAUCCCUGUGUGUGUGCCUUAGCCCCAGAGUUAGGGUUAGCAUUAGGGUUAACUUCUGGAAGUUCACUGACGUUUUACCACUACGUUUGGCAAGAGCACUGAUGGAGGUAGAUUGUUUUAGUGGCUCAUACCUGUCCUCCAGUGGCAGUUCAGGUGGGGGGGUUAGUAGCGGUGGUCUCCUGCUUCUAUAGUUUUUCAGAUUCCCUUUUCGGCACUCCUCAGUCCAUAAAUCGCACGGAGUGGAGGCUUUAGGUCUCGCAUCAUUAUUGAGCCAAUAUCCCGAAAUGCUGUCUGAAAAUGGUUAUGUUUGGAGCAGUAUCAAGCAAGGUGUCUGCUGCUGCACUGACGUUUGUGUCCGGGCAAGAGAGAUUUUCGGCCGGUUUCAUGGGUGGUUCACUAGCUGGUAGCUUAGCCUCCAGGCUAAUAGGUAGCAUGGAGUCGAUAAACUCUUCAGUCUCUCUGAUCUCUAAGAGGGUUCUGACUCUUAGCUCCAGUUCGGCUAUCCUCUGAGCGAGCUUUUCGCAAUCGGUACAAGCCAUAGUCGCAACCCAGCGAUUAAAAGAAAUAGCGAUUAAAAAAGCGAGUAAAACUCUGUAGCGGUUUGCAAUGAAUCUCCUCCUCCUCCUCUCUUGGAAAAGCCCUCUUGUUGAUCCGGUUUAGUUUUCCUCCUCCUUACAAUACACCGGAGUAUGUAACGAGGACACCGGGCUCUCCAUGGAUCAUUGUCAGUACUGGCAGGCGUCGGAGGCAGGGGAGACACAGGAAGCAAAAGCGUGGAUGCCGGUCCGGCCUACUUCCUAGGCAAUCCGGCAAUCUGCAAAUUUGGCAAUCCGUAGAGUGCACAAGAGAAACACUUAAAAAGCUGAUAAAAUAAAAUGAAAAAAAAAAUUUAAAACAAAAUAAUGGAAACUGCGAAAGAAAGCAUAAAAUAGAUAUAAAAUAGAAAAAGCUGCGGGAGCUUCGGGAGCUCACUGAGACACGUCUACACGUGUCAACUCAGGUAAAAGUACCGAUAUCAAAAUUAUGUCAUUACAACAUAACAUAGCUCAGGAGGUAAGACCGAUUGUCUGGCAGUCGGAGGGUUGCCGGUUCAAACCCCGCCCUGGGCAUGUCGAAGUGUCCUUGAGCAAGACACCUAACCCCUAACCCCUAACUGCUCUGGCGAAUGAGAGGCAUCAAUUGUAAAGCGCUUUGGAUAAAAGCGCUAUAUAAAUGCAGUCCAUUUACCAUAUAAAUGCAGUCCAUUUACCAUUUAGGCCAAGUUACAAGAAACAAUAUUGGCUGUCUUAGCUAACACAAAUUAAACAUGCUGUAUUCCAAAGCAAUGCAGCUUCCCAAUGUUUUCUAAAUUGUUUCAAGUAACUUAACCCUGUGCAUGUACUGUGUUAGCCUUCAGUACAACUGACUAUAUCUCAUAGUAUUGAGCAUUAUGUGAAGUUCAUUUUUCACAUUUUUUAAAAAAUUGUAGCUACAACACACCGGUAUUGAAGGUGUGGCGAGAACUAUGCCGCUGGUUAAACCAAACACCACAACAAACCUACAUAAUGUGAAGCCAGAAAAAUAGCACCUUGGCAAUGAAACUCUAUUCUUUCCCAUGGAUAUUGGCUGAUUUGUAUGUAUUAUGAUGUGGACUGUGCGUGUGAGAGAGAGAGAGUGACUGUUGGACAGCCUAGCAUUGAUUUUUUUUUAGAUACCAGUACCAAAAUCGGAUAGAAUGAAUAUACUUUUAUUUCUUUUGAUUUCUUAACAUAAUGAAGAGGGUGUCAUUGUCACUGCUACUUGCACUAUCAAAUUAUAUUUCCCCUCAGGUAAAAGGCGCAACUUUUUUGUCUUUUGGUAUGAAAUUGGAACACUGGAUUGUGAAAUUUCCGCGGAACCCGGCCUGUGUGAUUCACAUGCAGAAGAUUUGUGUGCGGAUAUUCAGCAAAUCUGUGACACAUUUUUGGUUGCACCGGUGUGAAAUUUCUUUAAGGAUGGGAUGGGCAAAUUCACUGUUUCAUUAUAUCUGAAGGCUAUUUUUCUGCCCCAUCAUAGGAGUGAGUGCUGGGCCCCAGUAGCCCAAAUACCCCUUCACCCGCCUGCUGGCAGGAUGUAUUCUGAAAGAACCAAAGACAACAGGGGAGAUUAGGCUGCCUUUGUCAUGGCUCUGUGUUGAGCUUUAAAGAGCUGGCUCUGAUCCCAGUUAACAGACGUUUUCGCCCUGCAUUGGCAUGGUAAACAUAGCAGCUCUCCCUUUCUCCUUUCUCUCUCUUUUCCUUUCUAUAUUCACAGUAGCAGACCAUGUUUUGCAGACCAUUGUCAGAGUCUGUGUGAAGAUACAGAGUAAUGCAAAUGGAGUGGGUGACAAAACACACAGGUGUGGUCCACACAGAGGGAUCACAUUGAUUUCACCUGACAUUCCUUCAAAGGUGCAGAGGCAUUUCCUGUCCCAACAAUAACUACUAAUUCACCUUUUCUGUCUUCACAUUUUCAUAUCCUCUGAACCUUUCAAAGUCAUUCAGAUAUUCUGUUUUUGUUUUGCUAUCAAUGUCACAUUCAUAUACCAUAUAUUCACACACAGGCAUGCACGCAAUCGUCCAUAGAAUGGUUAUGAAUCAUUGUUAAAUCAUUAUUUAUACUUGACUAUUUGAUUCAAGAAUCAUUUUGUCUCAUUUCAAACAUUUUUUUUCAAGUCGAUGUAGUGGGAUUUUAUUUAAUGACUUUUUUUUUGUUGCCAAAAAUGCAAUCUUUGUAAAAUACCUGGAAUUGUUCACUUGAAUAGUAAACUACCUGCUCUGAAAAGGCACCUGUGCCCAAAUAACAAAUUGUCCAUGUCCAUCAUAUACUCCCUCCUUCAUGUAAUCUGACUUAAUGAUAAAGUGGUCACUGCAGACCCAUCACCCCCCUCCCACAGGUGUAGUGCCAUUUCAGAACAGCUUUCCAGCAGCACAGUAGUUGCGGUCUCAUCGGAGGCGCUUAAUGAAAAUGAAUAAGUUUUGUUCUGUCAUACUCAUUUGAUCAUCCCAGCGAAAAACAAAAGGACCCUUCUUUGGGUUCUCAGUUUCAUUCCUCACGAUUCAUCACUGAGCUCAUUAAAAGUCAGCAGUCUAGUAAUAGGAGUAGCCUAAGCAGUUGAGACAAACCAACGUGACGUCACAACCUAGCUUGUCCUAAAAUGGCUGGAGCCCAAUGCUAGUAGUGGGGAAAAAGUGAACAUUUUUUCUAGAAAAUACUGGUCAAUUUCAGAUUUGAAUGCAGGGACAUAUCUUAUCCAAGGUACAUUCCAUUACAUUUAUUUGGCAGACGCUUUUAUCCAAAGCGACGUAUAAAAAGUGCAUUUCAUGGUCAUAGACAACUACUAAACACAGGUUCAGUAAGGUAUAAUUCUACGGGUAAAAUGAGCGCCCCAUGCGGCACAUACAAGUAUUGCGAACAGUUUGGCAGGGUGUACAUCAUCAGUGCUAAAAGACCUGUACCACACCGUUGUAGUGUGCAGCGUUGCGUCAACUGUAAUGAUGAGCUGGUUGCUGAUAGUAGACACGCUCGUUACAUUAAGCAAGUCAAACCUGAACAGCCGAGUGAACGCUGUGUGUAUUACGAUUUUGAGUGCCGACAGGAUGAUGGUGUGCAUGUUGCUAAUUUUGUAUGUUGUAUCGAUUUUAACGGGGUGCGUUGGACAGCAGCGGGUGACGGUUGUGUGGAGGCCUUUUUCCGUCGGUUCCGCUCACCGAAAUACAAAGGGUACACAUUUAUUGCGCAAAUCGAAGGGUUAUGACAGCUACCUAAUUAUGCAACACUUGAUUAAACAAGGCAUCACACCACACAUUAUAUCUCAAGGCAGCAAACUGCUUUGUAUCACCGAUGAUGCAUUUGAGCAGCGUCACAUAGAUUCCCUCAGCUUCCUCACAAUGAAACUGAGCGCCAUGCCAUCGGAUUUAGGCUUUGAAAAUGCCAAAAAGGGCUACUUCCCACACUUCUGGAACACAGUCGCGAAUCAAAAUUAUACAGGACCGUACCCACCACCUUUAUACUAUGGUUACAAUACCAUGUCAGAAAAGGAGAGGUCUGAGUUUAUGCAAUGGUACGCAACCAUAUCUGGAAGGGUGUUUGACUUUCUCAAGGAGAUGUCUGAGUAUUGUAUUAAUGACGUGGUCAUUUUGCGGGAGGGGUGUCUGAGAUUUAGACGUGAGGUACUCGCACCGGUCUUGACCCUUUUCAGGGUGUUACAAUUGCUUCUGUAUGUAUGAAACAAUUCUGCACAAGUUUUUUGCCCAAAGACACACUGGCUAUCACCACCCCUGACAAUUACAUUCUCAAGCAAAAGUCUUUUUCAACACCGGCAAUUCAGUGGUUAGACAAUGUUUUUCAGUCAUCGUAACAAUGUUUUCAUACAACAUGCUUUGAAUCGGAGGGAGGUUAAAUUUGGACCAUACUUUUUAGACGGGUAUUCAGAGGUGGGCGGUGUACGUACAGCCUUUGAGUUCCUUGGUUGUCUGUUCCAUGGUUGUUGUCAGUGUUUUGAUGCAAACACCUUUAAUCCGCUCACAAAACAAGAUUUUGGCUCCUUGUAUCGAAAAUCUCAAGAAAAAAUAGAUAUUCUGUGUAACACCUACAAUCUGCAUGUAGUUGUUUUGUGGGAGCACGAAUGGGUAAGACUAAAAUGGGAGAGUCCUGAGGUACCGGCGUUGUUUUGAUUAUCCAGAACGUCUGGAACCCUGUGAUGCUCUGUUUGGCGAUAGAACUAAUGCUCUUCGGCUUAAAUAUAAGGUGCAGGAAGAUGAGCAGAUACAUUACUAUGAUUUUACCAGUCUCUACCCUUUUGUGAAUAAGACUAAAGUUUACCUUACAGAUCACCCAUCAUCUUCCGUGCCUUUGACCCAAUCGAAAACUAUUUUGGUUUGAUCACAGCCAAAAUAUACCCACCUAGGGAUCUUUACCUACCCAUGCUACCUUACAGGGUGUCUGGAAAAUUAAUGUUUCCCCUCUGCAGGUCCUGCGCCGUCUCUGAACAUCAAGACAAAUGUUUACAUUCUGCCGAGGAGUGUUCUCUCACCGGGGUCUGGUGUAGUAUCAAACUAGUUGAGAAGGGAUACCAGGUGGCCAAGAUUUUUGAAGUCUGGCAUUUCCCCCAGCGCCCUGAUUCUCUCUUUAUCGAGUACAUAAACACACAUUUGAAGGGUAAACAGGAAGCCACUGGGUGCCCUUCAUGGGUGUCUAAUGAUCUGGAUAAAGACAGAUACAUGCAGUUAUUUGGAAAAGGAGGGCAUACAUUUAGACCCCAGCAAAUUUGUGUCAAUAAAGCUAAAAGGCAAAUUUCUAAACUUUUCCUGAACAGCCUUUGAGGUAAAUUCGGUCAGAGAACAAACCAAGUCAACACAACCUUGAUCCGUGACCUGGAGCAGUUUCAGUUGUACAUGUUUUUCCAAAGAGUAUGACAUUUUUCAUUUAUUACAGAUGAUGUGGCCCUUGUGCAGUGGUGUUGUGCCAAGGGUUUCUCAAAUCCACCCAAAUACAGUAAUAUGUUUAUAGCUGCAUUCACCACCGCUUACGCCCAGCUUGAGCUUUACGACCUCAUGGACAAAUUGCCUGACAGGGUUCUGUAUCAUGACACAGAUUCUGUAAUCUUUGUGAGUCGGCCAGGUGACUGGAUACCUCCACUCGGAGACUAUUUUGGUGAGUUGACGAGUGAGCUGGACACCGGUGACCACUUUGUGGAAUUUGUUUCCGGGGGUCCGAGAACAUGCUUACAGAACACGGGGAAGUAAAACAUGCAUGAGGUGCCACCGACCGACUGGAUUGGCGGCCGCCGUCACCCUGGCAGAGGACCACCUGGCGCUCUACCCCCGCAGCCAGUCACAGCAGCAGCAGCAAGGUCGGGCAGAAACUGCUUCACGCAGGAGAGCCCCUCCUCCUUCCCUUCUUCCCCCCCUUCCUUCCCCCCUUCCCCGUGCCCAAACCCCCUCAUUUUCCCGCAAUUCUGUUUAUUCUGUUUCCCCAGCCCCAGGCUCAGUGGCGGCGGGGUUUGACCCACAGAGAGCUCCUCAGACACCCGGACCGAGGUGGGGCAGGUGGUUCAUGUUGUCGGCCGCCCACCUCCGCUCCCGACCCGGACGGAGCGUACUGUAUUCCGACCGAUGCGUAGGACAGAGGGCUGGGGGCUGUUUUGACCCAGCAGGUGGAGGGAGUCGACCGCCCCGUGCUGUACAUUAGCCGAAAACUGUUGCAACGGGAGGCGAAGUACAGCACGGUGGAGAAAGAGUGGCUCACCAUUCGGUGGGUGGUCGGGGCCCUCCGUUAUUACCUUCUGGGUCGCCCAUUCAUCCUCUGUUCGGACCAUGCCCCCCUCCAUGGUCCCCCCUCCACCGCAUGAAGGAUACCAACACCUGGAUCACUCGGUGGUAUCUGGCUUUACAGCCUUUUAACUUCCAGGUGGUCCAUAGACCGGAUGCAUGGAUGGUCGUGGCUGACUUCCGGGGGCGGGGGUUGGUCAUUGGCCGGAUGGCUCCCCGGCCUAAGUCGGGCGUUGGGGGUAUAUGGUGGGGUGGGCGUGGUUUGGGCGUCGGCUGCAGAGAGAUAGUGAGAGGAGCGGCUCUUGGAUCCUUCGUCACAACUGUCAGGUGGAGGUAAUCAGCGCCGAUAAUUGUUAAUUAUUUGAUUGCGCUGAUUGCCUCUGAUUGGUUUCAAUAGAGACCGGGAGUCUUCGGAAGCAGACUCCGGAGAGAUGAAAGAAGUGCACAGUGAAAUAAAGGAAAACCCUGUGUUACGUUGUUUACGAUCGAAAGCCGUGGGCUUUAAAUAAAAGAGCACGGAAGUGCUAAAAAAACCAAACGGUUGUCUCACGUGAGUCUGUUGGAAGGCAGGAGGGGUGGCACUCACUUGCCACAAGCUAUAAAAUCGGAGUGUUCACACGGGUAACGAUCAGCACACCCAGUGUGCACGCUAACGUUAGUAGCUAGGUUAGCUAAAUUGAUAAUGCACUGGGGUAUCAUUAUCAAUUUUGCUAGCUUUGCUAGCUUGCUGCUGACAUGUUCAGCCGAAUACAUCACUGCAUAACUACCCUUACAGUACGUAACUGAAACAGUACUUUCUUUAGCUGAUGAGCAAGCGAGCCCUUGCAAAGAAAAUGACCAAAUUGGAGAUAGUUCUCCUUUGCCAGUUCUGGAAUUGUGUGCAGCAGAGGUUUGAGACAAUAAGUGUCAUGUUGCAAGGGGUAGAUCUAGAUCUCGUGAAUGCAGUUAAGUUGAUUUCCUCAUUAAAAUAUUAUGUUGCAAUGCAGAGAGACCAGUUUGAUAGGUUUGGAACUGCAACACUUAGUAUAUCUCCUGCUGUGUCCAAGA